GACGAACGCUGGCGGCGUGCUUAACACAUGCAAGUCGAGCGAGGCCCCCCCUUCUGGGGGGUGUCCUAGCGGCGAACGGAUGAGUAAAACGUGGGCAACCUGCCCUCAGCUCUGGGAUAACUCUGGGAAACAGGGGCUCAUACAGGAUACGACCUCCACGGGCGUAUGCGGGGGGGGGAAGUUUUUCGGCUGGGGAGGGACGCGCGGCCUAUCAGCUAGUUGGUGGGGUAGUGGCAGACCAAGGAGGCGACGGGUAGCAGGCCUGAGAGGGUGACCGGCCACACUGGGACUGAGAUACGGCCCAGACUCCUACGGGAGGCAGCAGUGGGGAAUAUUGCGCAAUGGGCGGAAGCCUGAUGCAGCGACGCCGCGUGAGGGAUGACGGCCUUCGGGUUGUAAACCGCUUUCGGCAGGGACGAAGCGAAAGUGACGGUACCUGGAGAAGAAGCACCGGCUAACUACGUG
Molecule: ribosomal RNA, 465 nt
Filed under: uncultured bacterium
Lineage: Bacteria
Description: partial 16S ribosomal RNA
Rfam family: Bacterial small subunit ribosomal RNA
Source: RNAcentral